Molecule: ribosomal RNA, 618 nt
Filed under: uncultured bacterium
Lineage: Bacteria
Description: bacterial SSU rRNA
Rfam family: Bacterial small subunit ribosomal RNA
Source: RNAcentral
CCUACGGGAGGCAGCAGUGGGGAAUUUUGGACAAUGGGCGAAAGCCUGAUCCAGCCAUGCCGCGUGCAGGAUGAAGGCCUUCGGGUUGUAAACUGCUUUUGUACGGAACGAAAAGGUCUUUUCUAAUAAAGAAGGCUCAUGACGGUACCGUAAGAAUAAGCACCGGCUAACUACGUGCCAGCAGCCGCGGUAAUACGUAGGGUGCAAGCGUUAAUCGGAAUUACUGGGCGUAAAGCGUGCGCAGGCGGUUAUAUAAGACAGUUGUGAAAUCCCCGGGCUCAACCUGGGAACUGCAUCUGUGACUGUAUAGCUAGAGUACGGUAGAGGGGGAUGGAAUUCCGCGUGUAGCAGUGAAAUGCGUAGAUAUGCGGAGGAACACCGAUGGCGAAGGCAAUCCCCUGGACCUGUACUGACGCUCAUGCACGAAAGCGUGGGGAGCAAACAGGAUUAGAUACCCUGGUAGUCCACGCCCUAAACGAUGUCAACUGGUUGUUGGGUCUUCACUGACUCAGUAACGAAGCUAACGCGUGAAGUUGACCGCCUGGGGAGUACGGCCGCAAGGUUGAAACUCAAAUGAAAUUGACCGGNNGAGAGNGCGAGACGACACGAGGGAGGAGG